This is a long non-coding RNA of Oncorhynchus kisutch (coho salmon), 360 nucleotides long. RefSeq lists it as uncharacterized. The transcript has 3 exons. NCBI's taxonomy places the organism in Eukaryota, Metazoa, Chordata, Actinopteri, Salmoniformes, Salmonidae. The record is from RefSeq and is a predicted model, not a curated record.
GACAACUGAUUCUGAGGAAGUCACCCAUGGAGUGAAAAUACACUUGUCGUUGUGGAUGGAGCUGCAGCAGAUGACCCAAUGCCAGCUGACAAUGUGGACGUUGCCCUUGUGAAAGAAGAGCAGCCUCUCCCUCCUCUUCCUCAGCACUCCCACAGCAGAACGGCCGUGAGGGGAUAAUGAAGAAGAGCGUGGACAUGAAGAUGGCAACAGUCCCGUCUGUCACAAACCUGAAGGACACACACAGUGAAAGAGUACAGUGGCCCAGCCUGGCAUGAAGCCUGGUUCUCUGGUGAACCACAUCACCACCAGCAGGACAAAGAUGGUCAGCACAGCCCCCUCGGCGAAGGUCAUGCUCCCCAG